AAAUGCGAUAAGUAAUGUGAAUUGCAGAAUUCAGUGAAUCAUCGAAUCUUUGAACGCACAUUGCGCCCCCUGGCAUUCCGGGGGGCAUGCCUGUUCGAGCGUCAUUACACCACUCAAGCCUCGCUUGGUAUUGAGCGCCGCGAGCGAUUCCUGCCCGCGCGCUCCAAUGUCUCCCGGCUGAGCCGUCCGCCUCUAAGCGUUGUGGUCUACCAGUGCCGCUUGCGAGGUUCGGACGCGCUCAACGCCGUCGACCCCAUCUUCUUUUAAAGGUUGACCUCGGAUCAGGUAGGGAUACCCGCUGAACUUAAGC
RNAcentral lists this unclassified non-coding RNA (310 nucleotides) under plant metagenome. RNAcentral describes it as "partial contains 5.8S ribosomal RNA, internal transcribed spacer 2, and large subunit ribosomal RNA". The stretch from base 1 to 104 matches the Rfam family "5.8S ribosomal RNA", at positions 51 to 154 of the family's 154-position model. The record is from RNAcentral.